UUUCCGUAGGUGAACCUGCGGAAGGAUCAUUAUUGAAAAAGACAAGACGCCCCGUUUUUCCGUAAAAUGGGUUCAAUACCCACAACCGUGUAUACCUUACCUUUUGUUGCUUUGGCAGGCCGCCUCCGGGCGUUGGCUUCGGCUGACAGCGCCUGCCAGAGGACCCAAACUCUGUGUUUAGUGAUGUCUGAGUAAUAUAUAAUAUUUUAAAACUUUCAACAACGGAUCUCUUGGUUCUG
RNAcentral lists this unclassified non-coding RNA (239 nucleotides) under plant metagenome. RNAcentral's name for it is "partial contains small subunit ribosomal RNA, internal transcribed spacer 1, and 5.8S ribosomal RNA". The record is from RNAcentral.